Molecule: ribosomal RNA, 482 nt
Filed under: uncultured bacterium
Lineage: Bacteria
Description: partial 16S ribosomal RNA
Rfam family: Bacterial small subunit ribosomal RNA
Source: RNAcentral
GAUGAACGCUGGCGGCGUGCCUAAUACAUGCAAGUCGAACGCUUCACUUCGGUGAAGAGUGGCGAACGGGUGAGUAAUACAUAAGUAACCUGGCAUCUACAGGGGGAUAACUGAUGGAAACGUCAGCUAAGACCGCAUAGGUGUAGAGAUCGCAUGAACUCUAUAUGAAAAGUGCUACGGGACUGGUAGAUGAUGGACUUAUGGCGCAUUAGCUUGUUGGUAGGGUAACGGCCUACCAAGGCGACGAUGCGUAGCCGACCUGAGAGGGUGACCGGCCACACUGGGACUGAGACACGGCCCAGACUCCUACGGGAGGCAGCAGUAGGGAAUUUUCGGCAAUGGGGGAAACCCUGACCGAGCAACGCCGCGUGAAGGAAGAAGUAAUUCGUUAUGUAAACUUCUGUCAUAGAGGAGGAACGGUGGAUAUAGGGAAUGAUAUCCAAGUGACGGUACUCUAUAAGAAAGCCACGGCUAACUACGUG